Molecule: ribosomal RNA, 662 nt
Filed under: Bacillus cereus
Lineage: Bacteria; Bacillati; Bacillota; Bacilli; Caryophanales; Bacillaceae
Description: bacterial SSU rRNA
Rfam family: Bacterial small subunit ribosomal RNA
Source: RNAcentral
CGGGUGAGUAACACGUGGGUAACCUGCCCAUAAGACUGGGAUAACUCCGGGAAACCGGGGCUAAUACCGGAUAACAUUUUGAACCGCAUGGUUCGAAAUUGAAAGGCGGCUUCGGCUGUCACUUAUGGAUGGACCCGCGUCGCAUUAGCUAGUUGGUGAGGUAACGGCUCACCAAGGCAACGAUGCGUAGCCGACCUGAGAGGGUGAUCGGCCACACUGGGACUGAGACACGGCCCAGACUCCUACGGGAGGCAGCAGUAGGGAAUCUUCCGCAAUGGACGAAAGUCUGACGGAGCAACGCCGCGUGAGUGAUGAAGGCUUUCGGGUCGUAAAACUCUGUUGUUAGGGAAGAACAAGUGCUAGUUGAAUAAGCUGGCACCUUGACGGUACCUAACCAGAAAGCCACGGCUAACUACGUGCCAGCAGCCGCGGUAAUACGUAGGUGGCAAGCGUUAUCCGGAAUUAUUGGGCGUAAAGCGCGCGCAGGUGGUUUCUUAAGUCUGAUGUGAAAGCCCACGGCUCAACCGUGGAGGGUCAUUGGAAACUGGGAGACUUGAGUGCAGAAGAGGAAAGUGGAAUUCCAUGUGUAGCGGUGAAAUGCGUAGAGAUAUGGAGGAACACCAGUGGCGAAGGCGACUUUCUGGUCUGUAACUGACACUGAG